Molecule: long non-coding RNA, 1081 nt
Organism: Terrapene triunguis (Three-toed box turtle)
Lineage: Eukaryota; Metazoa; Chordata; Testudines; Emydidae
Exons: 2
Source: RefSeq, a predicted model, not a curated record
CAGCGCUGCAGCUGUACCGGAAGGGCCAGGGCGCCCAGCCAGAGCCCCACGUCACCCUAUGCCUGGGCGAGGAGCUAGGCCAGCAGGACGGCCCUGCGGACAAGCUCAUCAUCAUCCAGAUGGAGCAAGCCUUCGCCCGGAAGCUGCUGGACAUGCCCGAGGUGGAGAUGGCGUCCGUCUGCCUCCUCUCCCUGGAGCCCUCCUGUCUCUUCAGCCCAAUCUGAGGGGACCCAAGAUGCUCCAGACCCUGCCAUUGCCUCGACUUAGGGGGCCAGGGGUGGAACUUCCUGUCUUGUCCCAUGCGGGACAGGUACUUUCUGUACUUAGAAGUCAUGCCCCCAACAUGCUUCCUGUUUUGUCCGUUAUUUGGGGAGGGAUUUCCUGACUUGUGGAACAAGAUGGGGCAGGAUAUCGCGUCUCACCUGUUUCGUUGAGGUGGGAGGGACUUCCUCUUUUGCUCACUGUCCAGGGAAGGGACUUCCUGGGGUUGGAGACCACACUCGAACACACUUCCUGACUUGGUGUAUUCUCAGGGAAGCAGUUCCUGGAGGACUGGAACCUGUUGGAGGCUGGCCUUCCUGUCAUGUCCAUUGUGUAAGGGUGGGACUUCCUGUCUUGCCUCAUGUAGAGCUGGGAGGGACCACCAGGGAUUUGAAUUGUGUAAGGGUGGGACUUUCUGGCUUGACCAGUGCGUAGGGGGUGGGACAUCCUGUUUUGCACAUUGUUCGGGAGGGAGCUCCUGGCAUUUCGAAUGUGUAGUGGUAGGACUUCCUAUUGUACAGAGGCGGGAUAUCCUGUCUUGGCCCUGGUAGUGCCGGAACGUCCUGUAGUGAACGUUGUAGAGGCAAGACCUCCUAGUUUUAUGUCCCUCUCUCCAGGGUAGAAGGAAGCUUCUUCUCCAAUUUGUAGAAACUUUUAUAUGCCAAAGGCCCUCCUGACCUCCGGCAAGAUUGUGUCUGGCCCCCGCCCCUUGCAGCCACAGCUAGGACCUUAAGCUCAGGUCCCUUUGCACUUUAUCCCUAACUGCAAGAAACUUUAUGAACCAUGUCUUGUGUUUUUAAAUAAAGUUUUAUUUGACCUA